Molecule: long non-coding RNA, 203 nt
Filed under: Elaeis guineensis (African oil palm)
Lineage: Eukaryota; Viridiplantae; Streptophyta; Magnoliopsida; Arecales; Arecaceae
Description: long non-coding RNA (EGUI_LNC045447)
Source: RNAcentral
GCGGUGCUAUUGGCUAUUCGUAAUGAGGCUAUUAGGUUUGAUUGUAUGUUCUCUUGGACCCUAGCCAUUUGGAUCCUUACUGUGUAUGUUGGCUACGGUAGGUUUAAGUCUACUGUUUGGAGUAGGAUGCACCUAGAUGGAAUCUAUCGAUCUUGAUAAAAAAAGAAAAGUCCAAUGUAAUUUGCGAGAUUAAGUUCAGAAAG